This 385-nucleotide unclassified non-coding RNA is filed under the name Hevea brasiliensis (rubber tree). The record is from RNAcentral. Lineage: Eukaryota; Viridiplantae; Streptophyta; Magnoliopsida; Malpighiales; Euphorbiaceae.
CACAAAAUUCUCCACAAAUCAAGACAUCUAUAAAUGAAAUAUUAACCACAACUGAACAGGGGAUCAAGCAAUCUCUAAAAGAUCUAAAAUACAAAUAUCAACUGAUUCAAGUACAUGAGUGAAACAAUUUUCUGUUCCUACUUCCUAAAACUCAAGAUUACAUUGUAAAAACAAAUUAUCUAGCAUGACAAAACAACACGUUUUCCAGUUACAAUUGGAUUUCAAAAAUCAGGACCCACUUUCUGCAACUAAUUUCACUUACAUACAUAUUGCUUUCAUGAAGUUAACUUCUCAAUACAUGAUAAACAGAAUAAAACAAAAUAUUAGAAGUAGCACAAUCAAGACAUUCAAGAAACUAAAACGCACCUGACUUUAGUUUCUCAUC